This 78-nucleotide small RNA is filed under the name Flavobacterium chilense. Its description in RNAcentral is "Flavo-1 RNA". The record is from RNAcentral. Lineage: Bacteria; Pseudomonadati; Bacteroidota; Flavobacteriia; Flavobacteriales; Flavobacteriaceae.
GUUUUGCGUGAGGGAUAGAGGCGGCAUCCUUUUGUGAAGAGAAACGAACAAAAGAUACAGCUGAAAGCCCGACCCGGA